GAUAACCGUAGUAAUUCUAGAGCUAAUACAUGCUGUAAAAACCUGACUUUUCGGAAAGGUUGUAUUUAUUAGAUAUCAAACCAAUAAUCUUUCGGGAUUAUUGUGAUGAUUCAUAAUAACUGAUCGGAUCAAGGUGUACCUUGAUAGAUCAUUCAAGUUUCUGCCCUAUCAGCUUUCGAUGGUAGUGUAUUGGACUACCAUGGCAGUCACGGGUAACGGAGAAUUAGGGUUCGAUUCCGGAGAGGGGAGCCUUGAGAAACGGCUACCACAUCUACGGAAGGCAGCAGGCGCGUAAAUUACCCAAUCCUGAUUCAGGGAGGUAGUGACAAGAAAUAACAACUCGGGGCCUCACGGCUUACGAGAUUGCAAUGAGAACAAUUUAAAUCUCUUAGCGAGGAACAAUUAGGAGGCAAGUCUGGUGCCAGCAG
This 428-nucleotide ribosomal RNA is filed under the name uncultured eukaryote. Its description in RNAcentral is "SSU rRNA". It matches the Rfam family "Eukaryotic small subunit ribosomal RNA", at positions 142 to 573 of the family's 1831-position model. The record is from RNAcentral.